UACGGAGGGUGCGAGCGUUGUCCGGAAUCAUUGGGCGUAAAGGGCGCGUAGGUGGCCCGGUCAGUCCGUGGUGAAAGCGCGGGGCUCAACCCUGCGUCGGCCAUGGAUACUGCCGCGGCUGGAGCACUGUAGAGGCAGGCGGAAUUCCGGGUGUAGCGGUGGAAUGCGUAGAGAUCCGGAAGAACACCGGUGGCGAAGGCGGCCUGCUGGGCAGUGGGGUGAAGACCCCUUCAAGCUGACACUGAGGCGCGACAGCGUGGGGAGCAAACAGG
Molecule: ribosomal RNA, 272 nt
Filed under: uncultured bacterium
Lineage: Bacteria
Description: partial 16S ribosomal RNA
Rfam family: Bacterial small subunit ribosomal RNA
Source: RNAcentral